UUUGACUUUAAUUAGCUCAAUCUGGAAUCAAUUUUAAAUCUGAUUCGAAACAAGGAGCUAGUUUUUUGCAACAUAUGCUAGCAUGUCAAUUUUGCAAACAUGAUCUAAUCCAAUUAGACCCCUGAUCAAUACCCUUUGUGUGUGACCCAUUGGGUUCCAUAUCUAGCCAGCAAUAGGUCUGAGUUCAAGUCGAUUUGAUUUGAUUAGAAUUUAAUCUAACCAAUCU
Molecule: long non-coding RNA, 226 nt
Filed under: Elaeis guineensis (African oil palm)
Lineage: Eukaryota; Viridiplantae; Streptophyta; Magnoliopsida; Arecales; Arecaceae
Description: long non-coding RNA (EGUI_LNC066365)
Source: RNAcentral